This 402-nucleotide ribosomal RNA is filed under the name Bacteroidota bacterium. Its description in RNAcentral is "Bacteroidetes bacterium partial 16S ribosomal RNA". It matches the Rfam family "Bacterial small subunit ribosomal RNA", at positions 355 to 776 of the family's 1533-position model. The record is from RNAcentral. Lineage: Bacteria; Pseudomonadati; Bacteroidota.
UGGGGAAUUUUGCACAAUGGGGGAAACCCUGAUGCAGCGACGCCGCGUGAUUUAGAAGGCCUUCGGGUUGUAAAAAUCUUUUCUUUGGGAAGAAAAUGACAGUACCAUAGGAAUAAGGACCGGCUAAUUACGUGCCAGCAGCCGCGGUAAUACGUAAGGUACGAGCGUUGUCCGGAAUCAUUGGGCGUAAAGGGUACGUAGGCGGGUAAGCAAGUUAGAAGUGAAAUCCUUUAGCUCAACUACAGUAUGCUUUUAAAACUGGCAAUCUUGAGAUAUGGAAGGGAAAAUGGAAUUCCUAAUGUAGCGGUGAAAUGCGCAGAUAUUAGGAGGAAUAUCGGUGGCGAAGGCGACUUUCUGGCCAUUAUCUGACGCUGGGGUACGAAAGCGUGGGUAGCAAACAGG